Molecule: long non-coding RNA, 996 nt
Filed under: Ficedula albicollis (Collared flycatcher)
Lineage: Eukaryota; Metazoa; Chordata; Aves; Passeriformes; Muscicapidae
Description: lncRNA (ENSFALG00000024897.1)
Source: RNAcentral
AGGCUCUUCUGAUUCACUGUGAUGACAGGAACAUUAAAUUCUUCUCUCACUUUCAGUUUUCUGGGCUGUUUGAGAAACCUCAGUUAUUGUUCAGAAAAUUGGGGCUCAGCAGACAAGGAGUGACUACAACAGAGGAACAUGCCAGCAGUGUCAUUCAAAAAGAAGGUUGUGAUGGAAGAUUUUAUUAUUAUAAAGUACUUGCCUCAGAGAUUUUUCUCAGCUCUCAAAGUUUCAGAAAAAGGGACUUAUGUUUGAGUUCAUCCAAGGUGAAACUCGGACCUGAACUAUUUGGUAAUGUCAAACCUGUGCCUGUGUUCGUUUCCGGCAUUAUUUUGGUUGAGCUGCCUCAGCUUUAUCUGUCAGCCUUUCCCGGCGUCAGUGAGAAAAACCCAGGGAAGCUGCAGGAACUGGAUGUGCCAUGUCUGUUUUCAGGUGAGAUGUGCAUGGAAAUAAGACUUUCUGAAAUACUGUAAAUGCUGGGUGCAACUUAUGCUGCCUUUUUUUCCCCCUGUGUUCAGUGGCCCAGCUGAUGAGGAUAGUAACUAAUCAAAUUCUUGCGUAAUUUGGAGUUGUAGUGUCUGCUGCAUCCUGAUAGGAGAGAAAGCAGAACUGUGUGUGUGGCUGGGAUAAGUUAUUAAUGAAGUGAUUACAGAAACAAUGUUUUUGUUCUGCUUUGUGCCUCAUGAAAGCUGCUAGCUUCCCUGUGGCAGGAGGAGGAGGAAAGCAAUAUUUUCAUUAGUAGCUGCCAGCAUGCCAAAGUGCUCCUUGGGUAUUGCAAAGCAGAACAGUAUGAGUUGCAGCAGAGAUAAGGGAUGGUAGAAACCACACAAGUCUGCUCUGUGCUUCUCUAGAUACCAUCACAGUGUGCUAUGAAUAAAUUAGGGUAGCAGCACCUGUUUGCCAUGUAUGUGAACUGCUACAACCUUGAAGGUAAGAAAAAAAUGCUGCUGUUCUGAGUAUGACAACACUUUUUUGUCUAGGUGCUGAUAUAAUAAA